UACAGAGGGGGCAAGCGUUGUUCGGAAUUACUGGGCGUAAAGGGCGCGUAGGCGGCCUUCUAAGUCGAACGUGAAAUCCCUGGGCUCAACCCAGGAACUGCGUCCGAUACUGGAAGGCUUGAAUCCGGGAGAGGGAUGCGGAAUUCCAGGUGUAGCGGUGAAAUGCGUAGAUAUUGGGAGGAACACCGGUGGCGAAGGCGGCUCACUGGACCGGUACUGACGCUGAGACGCGAAAGCCAGGGGAGCAAACGGG
RNAcentral lists this ribosomal RNA (253 nucleotides) under uncultured bacterium. RNAcentral describes it as "partial 16S ribosomal RNA". It matches the Rfam family "Bacterial small subunit ribosomal RNA", at positions 524 to 776 of the family's 1533-position model. The record is from RNAcentral.